UACAAUUAUUUCCUUUCUUUUUAGGGCUGCAGCAGAGCCUCUUUGAUGUUUCCUGUAUUUUUGACAGCUUUGGAGCUAGACAGGUAUUCAAACACUCUGCCUUAGCAAAUAUUUUUAAUGGCAAAUUCAGAAGGACUGAUGAAUCACGAAAGACUCUUUUCUUCCUUGAAAUGCAUACAAUUAUCCAAUCAUUAAUUGAGGCAGAUAAGCAUUUGUGGUGUGCAAAGCAGCAGAUAUGAGGUGGUUAUAUUUGAAAGGUACCUGCAGGAGGUUUGUUCAGUUUUUUCUCCAGUUCAGUUUGUUUACACAACGCUUAAGCGAGUUCACUGUUUUCCCUGUCUCUAGUCAGAGUUUUUGUCCUGAAGUUUCUGCCUAUCUCAAUAACGAAAGAAAACUAAUGAAUCAGUCUCUUGCCUUACUUAAAGCUCAAUUGUACCCUGCUUUGGCUUUUUACCUUCCCUGAGCUGCCAAGAAAUACUGCUGUGAGGCAGGGAGAGACCCUUUUGGUUCAGAAGGUACUCAAGGCCCUGUGGUGCUUCUUGAGCUCAAAAGGAGUGCUGGAGAAGGCUUGAUGUCAGGUACUACUGAGGGUCCUAAAUGAUCCCUGCUGUAAUCAGGACUGGAGCGACCAGAGCACAGAAAGUGCAAAGGGGAUGUUAAGCUAUAGAGGCUCCCUCUUCCCCAUCUUGACUUUAUCCUAGACAACUACUACUAGAGCUUUGGGCCUUUAUUUUGCAGACACAAAAUACUGACAGAGGUGUGACUCUGGCACCAUUCCUGCCUCCUUUUCCAGAAGUAUUUCAAUGCCGUGGGACAGUAACUUAUCACGGGCAGAUGCAUAAGAUGUUGUUGUCUGAGGUUGCUAGUCCUGGGUAUCAUUCACAGGUUCAGUGCCCGCUCUAAGGCAGUCAGUCUUCGAUCUGCUGAAAUCACCCCUCAAACUUCACACUGGGUGCUCUCUGCAUGUGUCUGUUGGAUCCAUAGGGAUGUGAAUGGAGCAGCAGAGACUGGCUAGGACAUCCCAAGAUCAAGGAAUUCAGGUGUGGUAGCUUAAACUGGAGUGCUUAGGAAGUUUGUUCAACCAAGUUUGGAUGCUGGUAGAUGUCAGUGCUUCCAACAGCAGGUGGUGAUGGAGCUUGGGCUUUCUAGAUCUCUUUCUUGGGCUUAGGCCCAGUUUAUGUCCGAAACAAUGCUCCCUGAAUCUCUUUCCAAAAUGCUUAGUAAUUGAAUACAGAUGUUUGGUGGACACAAGUGACCAGCACACCUUGACACUGAACUUUUCUUUAAACUUCUGAAGCCAGCCACUAAUUUGUCUUUAUUCCCAAGAACAAUAGUAAGUAUAACCACAAACAGUGCAAACUAGUUAACAGCUUACUGCGGUGGGUAAACCAUAACGUGACUGACAGAGGUGGGGUGGGGGUUGUGUUGUGUGUCUUCACAAUUAUUUUGAGAAUUGCUUAACAUUCUCCUUGAGAAAUUCCUUCAUUUCCACUUAGCAUGCCAAGAUAUAUCUGCAAGUCUUUAAAGAAUUUCAGCUGAUGAUUUUCCUCCCUUCCUGGAAUCAGACUUGGCGUUUACUUAUUGGAUCAGUCCUGUAGCUGGAGCCUGCUUCAAAGUCCGUGGAGUUGAUAAGACUGUCAUUUACUUCAACUGAGUUGGAUUCAGGACUCCAGCUUAUACCCUUGCUUACGAACAACAGAAUACCUGGUUCUGCUGGUCUUGAAGACUUGCAUUCACGUUAACUCACAUGGGAGCGAGAUCAGACCCUGAUUCAGAAAAGGACUUAAAAGACGUGCUUACCAUUUAUGUAAGCCAAUCCAUCCCUGUAUCUCCACUAAGUACAUAGAGUUGUUCCACCGCUUUAAAAGUUCAACAUGGUCUCUUAAGCGCUUUGUUGAAUCAGGGUUUUAAUGACUUUGAAGCAAAGGGGAGUAGCAGUGGGUAAAAAGAGGAGAUUCGCUUUUUGGUUGCAUGCAAGCACUGCCAUUAGCUCUCAGACAUCGAUGGAUCCCACAUGCUUCAGAAAUCACUCUGUUGACCUGGAGUGAAGGCGCUUUGAGCACAGAACCUACCCAGCCAUGAUCAACCUGCUUAUUUUUCAUCACUGUUGAUGAGCUGAAGAUGGCUCAAAUACCCUGACCGCACCAUCGCCUGGUGAUUGGGGAAAUGGGAGAGUUACCCAGUGACCACAGGACGCAGAUUGUGCAUCACCAGAAAAUGCGCAAACGUCUGUCUGCCUUCCCUUGUUCCAGCAGCAAUGAGUGAUCACAGGAGCACAGCCAAGCCGAUGCGGCCACGCAAGGGGUGGUUGUGACAGUAAUUGAAGAAAGUGCCGAAUCAGCCAGAAGAACAAGGGUUCACAGCAAAAGCUUGAGCCAGGCGGACACGUGUCUUGGAAAUACGAAGUAAAAGACAACCGCGAAUGAUGAUGGAGACUUGAUCAAGAGAUGCCAGUUGGUUGGGAGGCACCUACCUACCCAUUGGGAAGGCCUCUUCAGCAGGACAGCAGGUUGCCAACCCUUUGGUGUUGUAAGGGACAGAUUUUUCUAAAGGACUUCCUUGGCCUUUGGAUGCAGAGAUACUGAGUGGUGCCUCCAAAAGUCUUGAAGCGUAAGAAUGAAUGUAGUCAUGGCCACUUAUGCUGUGCUGAACUCUAAACUGGGGGCUGGGUUAUACCAUACCUGGCCCUUCUGGGGACACUUUGGCUUGUGCAAAUCGUGGUGGUGUUUAGACUAGAAAGACGCCUCCAGCCUAGGCCAGUUCUGGGCACGUUUGUGAUAAAGAAAUGAGGGGGCCUAAGGACUGCAGAGAGUUUUUUGGGCCAAACUAGCUAAAUUCUGGGCAAGUCCCACUUGCAAGUGCUAAGGUCUUUCUGUUGAUCUCACCCAGUCUAGUUAGGCUGUUUCUGGUGUAUUCAGGAACACAAAACCAGCACCUCUGUCCCAUUGUUUGCCAGGAGAAGCAGACACCCAACCUGCUUGGACACUGCUGAGAAGAGCCCUUGGCACAAAAGGAAAGUUGCCUUAGGAAACUGGCUGAAAUGGUUCAUAGGAAUUUUAACCUUUCGGACAGAGAAAUUUGAUCUGCAGUGGCCUGAAUAUCCAAGGCCGUAUGAUCAAAGCCAGAGAGAAUGCUGUAACAAGGCUUGAACAGCUUCCUUCGGAGUUUGGUGGUAUUUGACAUCCAACCAGACCGAGUCAGUAACGGGUUGAGAAGGUAACCAAAUGGGGAGAAAGCACGUGCCACAGACAGGGCUUCCCACUGCAUGGGCACAGCACAUACAAAAUCCUUUUUUGCCAAAUCCACCGCAAGAAGGGGAGAUUCCCCAAGCAGCCGUUAGACCCGUCUUGCAUUAAUGACGUGGAUGACACCAGAUUGCUACGACCCACCUUGCUGAAAUCUUCCUUUCGCUCUUGUAGCCCUGUGCAUCGCUUUAGCUUGUCAGAAGGGUCCUGUGCCUAUUGCUGGCAGUGUCCAAAGGCAACCUCCCAACUCAGGCUCGGGUAACUGCUCCUGAAGACAGUCAGCGGUAAGGAUCAGCCUUUCCCCACCCAUCCUGUUGGUUUAGGGAGCAGAAGCCUAAGAACAGCUGCACAGAUGCUGAGAGCCUGUCACAGCCCACAGCUGGAAGCAGUUUUCUUGCAGAGGCUGAGAGCAGCUUCCAAGCCCCAGGGUGGAAGGAGGAUACUGCAGGGAAGCGGGGAAAGUGGAGGAAGGGAGGGAGACAAGGGGCUGUAAUGAAGUGCACACAUGCGUAUGUGUGAAGGAAUGACCUGACACACGAGAUGUGUGCCAG
Aquila chrysaetos chrysaetos is the source of this 3796-nucleotide long non-coding RNA. RefSeq lists it as uncharacterized. The record is from RefSeq and is a predicted model, not a curated record. The transcript is spliced from 4 exons. NCBI's taxonomy places the organism in Eukaryota, Metazoa, Chordata, Aves, Accipitriformes, Accipitridae.